UACGUAGGUGACAAGCGUUGUCCGGAAUUAUUGGGCGUAAAAGGGAGCGCAGGCGGUUGGAAAAGUCUGAUGUGAAAGCCCACGGCUUAACCGUGGAAGGUCAUUGGAAACUGUCCAACUUGAAUGCAGAAGAGGUAAGUGGAAUUCCAUGUGUAGCGGUGAAAUGCGUAGAUAUAUGGAGGAACACCAGUGGCGAAGGCGACUUACUGGUCUGUGAUUGACGCUGAGGCUCGAAAGCGUGGGUAGCGAACAGGAUUAGAUACCCGCA
Molecule: ribosomal RNA, 268 nt
Filed under: uncultured prokaryote
Description: partial 16S ribosomal RNA
Rfam family: Bacterial small subunit ribosomal RNA
Source: RNAcentral